Molecule: ribosomal RNA, 154 nt
Filed under: Sarcodon aff. imbricatus VPC-2007
Lineage: Eukaryota; Fungi; Basidiomycota; Agaricomycetes; Thelephorales; Thelephoraceae
Description: 5.8S ribosomal RNA
Rfam family: 5.8S ribosomal RNA
About the family: 5.8S ribosomal RNA (5.8S rRNA) is a component of the large subunit of the eukaryotic ribosome. It is transcribed by RNA polymerase I as part of the 45S precursor that also contains 18S and 28S rRNA.
Source: RNAcentral
ACUUUCAGCAACGGAUCNCNNGGCUCNCGCAUCGAUGAAGAACGCAGCGAAAUGCGAUAAGUAAUGUGAAUUGCAGAAUUCAGUGAAUCAUCGAAUCUUUGAACGCACCUUGCGCUCCUUGGUAUUCCGAGGAGCAUGCCUGUUNGAGUGUCAU